GCCAUAUUUCCCUGUUAGUCUCUCCAGGCUACAAGCUUAUUGGUUGAGUCACCCACCUCGGGGGCGGGACUUCCCUCCUCAGUCUGGGGCCUACCUGUCAAUCAUCCAGACACACCCAGAGCUUUACUAACCUGCUAGGCGCUUCCCAUUCAAAUCAAGUUGACAGAUGGUGAUGAAGGAUUACACUCGGAGAUUCCUUUCAGUGUCUCCCUCUGAAAUAGAGAGGAGUUUACCGUAUUUCAUGUUAAAAAGCCCGUUUCUUCUCCUUUGGUCUCAUGCCAGGAGAUUGGGCAAGACUUCGGGCAGCCUGAAGAGUUUUGCAGCGUCCCCCUGUGCCGGGCCCGGCUGUAUUGUGGGCAGGAACAGUGCCUGAGGCAGAGGCCCGUCAGCAAAUUGUGGACAACGUGGACUUAAUGCCAACAGUGAAAUCAUCCAACCCAGUGAGUCACAAGCACCCUCCAGGAGGCCACAGUCAUAACAUUAAGAUGGUGAAGAGGAAGAUAAACCAGAGAUGUCUGGAUUCCCUUCAGAAAGAAGCUGAAGGAGCAACCACCCUCUAAGCGCCAGGCACUGUCCGGGAUGCAAGAAGUGACUCUGGUGACGGAGACCCUGGAGAGGGAUCAGCGGGAAACCCUGAAGGAAGGCCGCGGUCUGACAUCCGGAGCCGGUUCUUUGGAUGCCUUUUCAGCUGCAAACGGAAGGAAGGUCCUCGAGUUUGGAGGUUUCCAGAAGCGUGAAGGAGAAGGUGCAGGACACGGUGAGAAGCCUCCGGGGCCUGAAUAAGCAGAGAAAAGGUGCUCUGAGCUUCCUCAUCCAGUGACUUCACAGGGAGCAGGACCUGCAAGACCUACAGCGGUGUUUGACGUCCUGAUCUUUGGAGAGCUGCGGCAGGAGGAUCUGGCUCUCCAAAGCUGGGAGCCUGGUAGAAGCGCUUGCCAACACCAUUGUGGAGUUCGUGGACCCCUUGAUAGGUGAGGGAGGAUCCGGCUGGAUUCGGAGGUGGAGGAACUGCUGCUCAGGGAGGCCUGGGGAUCACAUCUUGGGGUGAGUGCCAACGGCCCUUUACGCUUUGCUUCAUGGGGGUGGCUCCUCACUUGGUAGAGACCAGCGGCUCCCCUUCCCCGUGGUCCAGUCUGUGGUCCCCAACUGGGUAGGGGGAGGAGGCACCUGGACUCCGUGACGUGAGCCUGAGCAGUUGUGGAGGCCCUGGUCCGCUUCAUACUCUCCUUCCCAAUGGACCUCUCAGAGGAGCAGCAGUUUUGGGGGGAGGCACUGGAGAAGGAGACCUUGCCCAUGCUGAAGGACAAGGUGAGAGGGCCUGGGUGGAGGGCCGGGUCACAGUGGGAGAGAAAAUGAUGUUCUCAAGGGACCCAGAAAUUCCAGGGCAAGUUCCAGCCCUUUGUUACUCCAUGGUUCCCCGCCAGCGCACGUCCAUGUGGCUGGCUGGUUAGUGACAAUUCCCUGGACAUAGGUCGCCAGGAUGAUUGGACAUGGGUUCUUUAGGCUCUGUUGCUUGCCUGGAGGAACGAGGGGCGGACGUGUGACUGCCAGGGCGGCAGCUGGCAUGGGCUGAUCAGGGUCACCUGCGUGGGCUCCACCGGAAGGAGCGCCAUGACGGUGACUAUGUCUGCGCAUGCGCUCGCUACUGCGCGCACUGGCCAAGCGCUUGCCAUUUCCGGUUUGUGUCGUUGUUCCUAGCUUUUAGGCUGGUUGGUUUCCUUCCAGGUGGAGACCAUCCUGGAGGAGAAGUGGGGUGUCCAGGCCAGCAAUCCCCAGGACCCAGACUGUGACCCCGAGGCGCAGGCCAUCUUUAUCCUCUAUCUUGCUGUCUCCAUACUGCUGCAGCUGAGCGAGCAGCCCACCACUUCUUUUUUUUUUUUUUUUUUGGUACCGGGGAUCGAACGCGGGACCUUGCGCUUGCGAAGCAGGCGCCGGAACCACUGAGCUAAAUCCCCGGCCUAGCCCACCACUUCUUAAGAGCUACUUCCCCACCUCCCGAGCCCACCCUCAAGCGGCCACCACGGCCACCACCGCCAUCAUCCUGUCACCAGAGGGACCUCAUCAGAACUCGCAGAUGGCUUUCUUCCAGGCACCCCUUCCCUGCGUGUUAAUAUCCCCAACCAGCCUGGAUUGUAUGCAUGGAUUUCUGGUUAAAACUGGCAGAUUGAUUUAUUAAUUUCUCUCCCUUGAAACCUCAUUAAAUGACAGUAGAGCAAUUGGGAAGGUAUAAGCCCUCCAGGAUAAAAAGGGAGUUGAAGUCGGGGAAUUUAACACAUCUUUAGAAGCUAGAAAGCAGGGGCCUGAGGGGCGCGCGCGCGCGUGUGUGUGUAUGUAUGCUGAUUUCAUCAGAAGUCUUUAGUUCUAUUUUAUAUUCUCAAAGAAAAUGUAAUUAGAAGUUAAAGAAAUAAUGUUGGGUACACAGCAUUUCAAACAUGUCUCCAAUACUAAGUAGAAGGUGGAGCUCCUCUGCAUCUCUCUUCCUUCGGAGACCAGAGGUAGCUGACGUCUGAAGCUAAGGUGACUUGUGCCAGGUAACAGACUGCUGUUUACAGAUCCAGGCACUGGGCUGUGGUUGCCUGGCCUGUGGAACCCAAGCCCAAGGGCCUCCCCGAGUGGGUUCCACUGGAAUCUCAAGGGUGCGCCUUCGUAGUAAAGGUGACUCAGCAGUAGAUCCAUGGCUCUUACCCCACCUCGGGGGAAUGCAGCCAAGACUUUUGGGUACUGAAUGAAGAAGAGGUUAUAAAAGAAAAGGGAAAGCCAGGGAUUUAGCUCAGUGGUUCUGCCACCUGCCUCGCAAGUGCAAGGUCCCGAGUUCGAUCCCGGGUACCAAAAAAAAAAGGGAAAAAAGUAUUCUGAGAGGUUGAGAUCAGAGGCACCUUGCUAAAGAACUCAGGCUCCCUGGCAGUGGACUUGGUUGGGGAGGUCUUGGGCCGAUCACAUGCUCAGGCACCCGUCAGAAUCACACUUGACCUUCAUUCCCAUAAAUGAUCAUCUCAGGCCAAUGAGUGCUUCCCAGGAAACUACCAACAACAAAGAAUCCAAGGAAGUAAAACCAUGAGCAAGAAUGAGCAAAAAUACAGGACAGCACAGCAGAAAGGUAAGAAAACAUCAAAUAAAUAAAUAAAUAAAAUAAAAUACUGGAAUUCCUAAACAAGGUUAUGAAAACAUAAUGAUGCUUAAAUUUGAAGAUGAGUCUGAGUGUGGUGGUGCAGACCUGUAAUCCCAGGACUCAGGAGGCUGAGGGAGGAGGGUUGCCAAGAGUUUGAGGCCAGCCUGAACUGCAUAGUAGGACCCUGUCGCAAAAAACCAAAAAAGUUCAAUCAAGGUUCCAAGAGCAGAAGACAAUGAGAUUCAGGCAGAGGCAAUGCUUGAUGAGACAGUGGUUGAGAAUUUUGCCGAAUUAAAGAUAAUCAUAGUUUUAGGAAAUGCAGUGAAUCCCUAGCAAGAUUUAUAACACAUUCACAUCUAGAAGAAUCAUAGUAAAAUGGAAGAAUAGCAACAAAGACAAAAAUUUUAAAACUAGUCGGAGAAGAAGACAACUGACCUUCAAGGAAGUUACAGACUGAAAACUCAGUGAGGAGCCGUUGAUGAUGAAAUUAUACCUGUGUGUGUUGAAAGGAAAGCACUGCUGAUUAAAUUUUUAUAAUCAGCAAAACUGUCUUUAAUGUAGCGGGGGGGGAUGGGAGAAAAUAGAAUUUAUUUUAAAAAAAACUACCAAAAAAAGUUAAUAUUGCAAUAUAUCAAAAAUUAUUUGGGAAGGGGCCGGGGAUUUAGCUCAGUGGUUCUGCUGCCUCCCUCGAAAGUGCAUGGAUCUGAGUUCCAUCCCUGGUACCAAAAAAACAAACAAACAAAAUAAAGGUAAAAUUAUUUUUAGAUAAGAAUGAAGAGCCUUUUUCCCUAGUAGGUCCUUAUUAAAGAAAAGUCAGGUAAAAGGAGAGACCUCAAAUAGAUUUGAAGCUGGGUGUGGUAGUAUACUCAGGAGGCUGAAGCAGGAAGAUCCCUGCGAGUUUGAGGGUCGCCUGGGCUGCAUAGUUCAAGGCCAGCCUGACAUAUGUGGAGACCCUAACUAACCACCCCCCCAAAAAACCCCAAACCAAUAAAAGGUAAAUAAAGAGUUAAAUCUAAAUAAGCAGUAAUUGCCAGAGCCUGGUAUGGUGGUGCACACCUGUGAUCCUAGCACUGGGGAGGCUGAGUCAGGGGGAUCACAAGUUCAGGCCCAACCUGGGCCACUUAGCAACUUAGAGAGACCCCCCCCCCAAACAAAAGAGAAGCUGGGGUGUUUCUCGGAGAGAAGGCCUUGGGUGCAGUCCCCAGUAACACACACACACACACACACACACACGCACGCAUGCACGGACGGUGAUGCACGCCUGUAAUUCCAGCACUUAGGCUGAGGCGUGAGGAUAGCUAGUUCAAGUCCCACCUAUGCAGAUUAGUGAGACUCUGUCUCAUAAUAAAAACUAAAAAAGGGCUGGGGAUGUAGCUCAGUGGUAGAGCACCCUUAGAUUUAGUCCCUAUGUAAACUUAUCAAAAUGGCAUCCUAUGGGGUAAACAUAACAACUGUAACUAAUAUAAGCCGGGGACUGUGGCGUACAAUCCUGGUCCCAGCUGUUUGGCUUGAGCUCCUAUGAGAAUCUAAGACCACAGCUGACCUGACAGGAAGUGGAGCUCCAGUGGUGAUGUGCAGAUGGGGAGCUGCCUAAAAGUUUUCCUCAGUUAAAAAAAAAUAAAAUUAAAAAAAUUUUUUAAAAACAGAAAAAAGAUGAAGAAGAAGAAAAAAAGAGUUUUCCUCAGUAAGAUGUUGUAAGUCCCAAACUGGAAACAACUCAAAUAUUCACUAACAGGAUGGAUAAAUGUACUAUUGUAUGUUCAUUCAAUGGAAUAUUAUACAGCAGGGAACAGGAACAAGCUGAAGUUAUUCUUUGGGGAGAAUUACAGCACAAAAAGAUAUAUUCAAAAAGAUUCUUUCCACCUAAUGUUAAAAAAAAAAAAAGAAAGAAAACUAUUGCUUAGGAAGCCACACUUUGGUGGUAAAAUUCCAAGAAAAGUAAGGCAGUCCUUAUUAGAAAAACAUUCUCUUUGGAGGAGCAAUGGUACAAUCAGAAGAGGCCUAUCUGAAUGCAGGGUGUGAAGGACGCGAGCGAUGUUUUAUUUCUCUGGGUGGUAGGUAGUUCAAGUGAGAAUUAUUUGUUAGGCUGUAUUUUUAUGUGAAUAUACUUUUCUUCAACUAUGAUGUGGUUCACAAUAAAUUAAAUAAAAGAGAGAAUGGUGGUAUUCACUUUUUUGUUUGUUGAGACAAGGUCUCACUAUGCAGUCCAGGCUGGCCUUGAACUCACUAUUCAGCCCAAGUGGGCUCGGACUCGCAGCGAUCCUCCUGCCUCAGCCUCCAGAGUGCUGGGAUGACGGACUUCCCACGGUGCCGGCUGGCUCACUGGGACUGUGAGUCCCUGGGCUCCAUACUCCGCCUGUGCAACAUUUUCCACCCAGUGGGAGGCGUCCAAACCACCGGCCCCCUUUUGGCUUCCUGUUUCCUUAUCUUUGUUUUCCAAACACCCCUGCCACUUCUAUAUUUGCUUUUGGAUUCCGCAUGUGUUCUCGGAUCAUGCAGAAGAGCCGGUGUCGAGACGCCGGGGAGGCGCGCUUGGACCUCAGCCCUAUCCCUGCAACUCAGGUCGUUCCACCUUGGGAGCGUGUAGGUUUCGGGAGUCUUAUGACUGACAGCCACGCUUCUCCGAUUCCCUGAGAACUACACACGGUCUUUCUCUUUGGGGGGUGGGUACUGGGGAUCGAACUUGGGACCUUUCACUUGUGAGGCAGGCACUGUGCCACUGAGCUGCAUCCCUGGCCCCGCCUUUUUAUUUUUUUAAAUUACAUUUUGAGACAGGUUCUCACUAAAUUGCCCAGCUGGGCUUGGAUUUGGGAUUAUCUUGCCUCGUCCUCCUGGUGUGCACUCUCCCAUGCCUGUCCUGGGCUGAAAGUUUUUUAUUUCACUAAUUUCAGUUCUAGGCAACUGGUUCCUUGUGAAGUAUGCAGCUUGCUACAGCUGAAAAUCAUUCCCACGUUAGGCCACACGGACAUCUGUACUAACUGGAGCAACAGACAGCCCUCCUCGAGCCCUGCUCUCUGCUUGGCGGCAGAGCUCUCAGGGACCUCAGCAAGCUGCAGCCGGCCGCGGUGAGGCCUCCGCAGGCUUCUGAGAGCAGUGCUGAAGGUUAGGAGAAAACUCUAUAGUACCCCACAGAAGAGAGGGGCG
Heterocephalus glaber (naked mole-rat) is the source of this 6253-nucleotide long non-coding RNA. NCBI's taxonomy places the organism in Eukaryota, Metazoa, Chordata, Mammalia, Rodentia, Bathyergidae. The record is from Ensembl.